UACGAAGGGUGCAAGCGUUACUCGGAAUUACUGGGCGUAAAGCGUGCGUAGGUGGUUUCUUAAGUCUGCUGUGAAAGCCCCGGGCUCAACCUGGGAAUUGCAGUGGAUACUGGGGAGCUAGAGUGCGGUAGAGGGUAGUGGAAUUCCCGGUGUAGCGGUGGAAUGCGCAGAUAUCAGGAGGAACACCGGUGGCGAAGGCGGGUCUCUGGGCCAUAACUGACGCUGAGGAGCGAAAGCAUGGGGAGCGAACAGG
This 253-nucleotide ribosomal RNA is filed under the name uncultured bacterium. RNAcentral's name for it is "partial 16S ribosomal RNA". It matches the Rfam family "Bacterial small subunit ribosomal RNA", at positions 524 to 776 of the family's 1533-position model. The record is from RNAcentral.